UACGGGGGGAGCAAGCGUUGUUCGGAUUUACUGGGCGUAAAGGGCGCGUAGGCGGUCAGCACAAGUCAGUUGUGAAAUCUCCGGGCUUAACCCGGAAAGGUCAACUGAUACUGUGCGACUAGAGUGCGGAAGGGGCAACUGGAAUUCUUGGUGUAGCGGUGAAAUGCGUAGAUAUCAAGAGGAACACCUGCGGCGAAGGCGGGUUGCUGGGCCGACACUGACGCUGAGGCGCGAAAGCCAGGGGAGCAAACGGG
This 254-nucleotide ribosomal RNA is filed under the name uncultured bacterium. RNAcentral describes it as "partial 16S ribosomal RNA". It matches the Rfam family "Bacterial small subunit ribosomal RNA", at positions 524 to 776 of the family's 1533-position model. The record is from RNAcentral.